AGUAAAAUCAGCUAAAUAAGCUUUUGGGCCCAUACCCCAAACAUGUUGGUUGAAAUCCUUCUUUUACUA
RNAcentral lists this transfer RNA (69 nucleotides) under Taractes rubescens (pomfret). RNAcentral's name for it is "tRNA-Met". It matches the Rfam family "tRNA". Rfam says of the family: Transfer RNA (tRNA) molecules are approximately 80 nucleotides in length. The record is from RNAcentral. Lineage: Eukaryota; Metazoa; Chordata; Actinopteri; Scombriformes; Bramidae.